RNAcentral lists this ribosomal RNA (861 nucleotides) under Hepatozoon catesbianae. RNAcentral's name for it is "partial small subunit ribosomal RNA". It matches the Rfam family "Eukaryotic small subunit ribosomal RNA", at positions 418 to 1762 of the family's 1831-position model. The record is from RNAcentral. Lineage: Eukaryota; Apicomplexa; Hepatozoidae.
CCAAGGAAGGCAGCAGGCGCGCAAAUUACCCACUCCCGACUCCGGUGAGGUAGUACUGAAAAAUAACAAUCACAGAGCACUGCGUCUUCGAGGCCCUGCUAAGUUGGAAUGAGUACACGUUUAAAUCCUCUUAACGAGGAUCGUAUUCGGAAGGCAAGCUCUGGCURCGACGAGGCGACGGCGCGUCUAAACUCUCACUCUCUAUCUCCGCACUGCGGGGAGGUAGUGACGAAGAAUAACAAGUACANUGGAGCUGUCGGCUUAAUUUGACUCAACACGGGAAACUCACUGGUCCGGACAUGAAAAGGAUUGACAGAUUGAUAGCUCUUUCUGAUUCUAUGGGUGGUGGUGCAUGGCCGUUCUUAGUUGGUGGAGAUGAUUUGUCUGGUUAAUUCCGUUAACGAAACGAGACCUUUACCAUGCUAACUAGGGNUACCCUUGCUUGACUAGCUUCUCUGCGUAAACCUCUCUGUGGCUGAUGAUAGUUCUCGAGCACGACUACUACCGAAUCAUAUUAGUUAAGAAGUGAGCGAUUACUAGAUCGUGUGUGAUACGUUAAUUCAGUCGACAUGCGUAUAUAAGAUCAUGUGAGAGAAGACUAGACUCAUAACGAUGUAGAUGCCUGCUGAGUGCACUCCUAUGACGUAUGCGCUCUCGGACGUGUCAAUCCGGCUACGACUCUUAGGCCCUAUCUAGUACACACCGCCCGUCGCUCCUACCGAUUGACUCGAUCCGUAAAUUAUUUCCGUACUNGUUUUGUAAACUCUCAAUCACACCUCUUGACGAUGUGCAAUAGGAGAGAGUGCUGUAACAUACGGUUUUCCUGUAUUUUCCGAGAUCCGUGCAGACACUGGCAAUCAA